This 128-nucleotide non-coding RNA is filed under the name Leptotrombidium deliense. Lineage: Eukaryota; Metazoa; Arthropoda; Arachnida; Trombidiformes; Trombiculidae. The record is from RNAcentral.
GCUGGGCAUGGUGGCGCAUGCCUGUAAUCCCAGCGGUUCGGGAGGCUGAGACAGGAGGAUUAUGAGUUCAAAGUCAUCUCAGCAAAAAUAAGCGAGGUGCUAAGCAGCUUAGUGAGACCCUGUCUCAA